GCCGCUGUGGCUCAGCUGGCAGAGCGAUUCCUUGGUAAGGAAUAGGUCGGGGGUUCAAAUCCCCCCAGCGGCU
This 73-nucleotide transfer RNA is filed under the name Thermoplasmatales archaeon. Its description in RNAcentral is "tRNA-Thr". It matches the Rfam family "tRNA". Rfam says of the family: Transfer RNA (tRNA) molecules are approximately 80 nucleotides in length. Their secondary structure includes four short double-helical elements and three loops (D, anti-codon, and T loops). Lineage: Archaea; Methanobacteriati; Thermoplasmatota; Thermoplasmata; Thermoplasmatales. The record is from RNAcentral.